UACAGAGGAGGCAAGCGUUAUCCGGAAUUAUUGGGCGUAAAGCGUCCGUAGGUGGUUUGAUAAGUCUGGUGUUAAAGACCAGAGCUCAACCCUGGAUCGGCCGUGGAAACUAUAAGGCUUGAGUACGUUAGGGGUUGAGGGAAUUCCUGGUGUAGCGGUGAAAUGCGUAGAGAUCGGGAAGAACACCAGUGGCGAAAGCGCGCAGCUGGGCCGUUACUGACACUGAGGGACGAAAGCUAGGGGAGCGAAUGGG
Molecule: ribosomal RNA, 253 nt
Filed under: uncultured bacterium
Lineage: Bacteria
Description: partial 16S ribosomal RNA
Rfam family: Bacterial small subunit ribosomal RNA
Source: RNAcentral